ACACUGAUGGUGAAACGGUAUCAUGCUUGCCUUCCAUUGGUAUUUCAUCGAACCUGUAGCAAGCGGCGCGGGUUCGACUCCCGCUCAGUGUA
Molecule: transfer RNA, 92 nt
Filed under: Grifola frondosa (maitake)
Lineage: Eukaryota; Fungi; Basidiomycota; Agaricomycetes; Polyporales; Grifolaceae
Rfam family: tRNA
About the family: Transfer RNA (tRNA) molecules are approximately 80 nucleotides in length. Their secondary structure includes four short double-helical elements and three loops (D, anti-codon, and T loops).
Source: Rfam by way of RNAcentral